CUCUUUGCCUUAGGUUUGGCGCUAGGUGCCCCAGAAGUGUGCAACCAGGUCACCUCAUCCCAGUCUGUCCGGGGCCUUCUCCCUUGUACUGCCCAGCAGCAGCCGCCACAGCCACAGCCGCAGCAACUUCCUGCGCUCCCACCCACGCCUCAGCAACAGCCACCCUUGAAUAAUCACAUGAUCUCACAGGUGAGUCACCAGCAGAGCCCCUCCGCUCUGAUUCAAGCAAGCUCUGGAAGUACAGUCAUGUCUGUUGUGCUGUGGGUGGCAGGAAAGAUCUGUUGUUGGAGACCUGCCACUCGCUCCCCCGUUUCUUAUUUGUUAGUUGUGGGGAGAGAAGAGUAAGGUAAGGGUUUGGCCAAAGUGCUCUUAGAGUCAGCCUGGGAGCUUUUUGCCUUCUGUUUCUUCCUUUUCUUCCUGAGAAUUGCCAGUGGGAUCUUUUACCCCAUUCCACAUUUCUGCUGUAGCCCAUUUCCCUCUACAUCCUGUGUAAUUAGCAAGGCGAUUUUGUUCACUGCAUCCAUAUAUGGAGCUUGAAAAAAAUCAUGGCUCUCACCAUAACCAGCUGGAUGUAUUCAUGUGACUGUUGACCCGCAAACACAUAUUUAUGGAUUGGGGUUUGAAAAAAGGAAAUCUACUCAAGACCCCUUCCAUACAUAUGCCAUAAGGCACAAUCCCCCCCAAAGUUGUCUUUGUUUCCCAUGCCACGAAAGAGCUCUUUCUCCUUCUGUUGCUGGACUGGUAGAUAUUAAUAUCAAGUAGGGUUUGCGUGAAGUUUCCUUUCUGCAGAGAUCACACAAGUCUUCAGCAUCAGAAUCCGAGCCUAUUCUAAACUGGGACAUCAGUGUUGUAGGUUCAGGUCUCCCUGAUACUCUGAGCAGAGCUGCUCAUGAGUGGAGUCCAUCCUGUAUCCUGGGGUAUGUCUGGCGGUGGUCUCUGCCAGUCAGAAAGCCCGUAUGUCUGCACUCUACUGCUACAGUUCUUCUCAUUGCACCUCCCAGGCUCCCUCGCCUCUGGGCUUAGUCAGUUCAGCUUGGCAUCAGCUCUAUCUCUUCCAUAGGUAAAAGAAGCAAAUCACAAGCAUUAACACCCCAGGAACUGGAAACUAUCAGUAGACUGCAAAGAGCCCAGGAUGGCCCCGUAUUACCCCAUUCUGAUAUUGUAAUCAUCUAGGAAACCCUGCUUUGUGUCUUAAUGUAACCCACAUGCAGAUCAUUCCAGGCCUUUAUCUUGGCCCCUAAGUCAGUUUCUCUAGAGUUCUGACUUUUGUUCUUGCUUGAUCACCAUCUAUCUCAUUAAGUCUCAUUCAUGUCAGCUUACCUCACUCUGUACAGAGGUGUGGCACAAGUGUGUGCAUUCCGUUUGUGUCUUCAUUCAGACCUAUAAAUGGGUACACCUCUCUCUCUCUGGGUAUCUCCUACUGUGUUUCUGUGUGUGCCUCAGUUUUCUAAGGUCCCAGUGUUUGAGUUUUCUAAAAUGUGUGUAUUUUAAUACAGUCUUCCUCCCUUUUCUCCGUCUUAGUCUUCAUCUGCCUCCUACUUCCAUCCAUAUCUAGAAACAGACAAGAGUGGGAAAGGAAUAAAGAGAUCACUAGAAUAACCAUUUGGGACUGAAAAAAUGUUAGAAUGUCUAGGUGUCUGGCCCUAAAUCCCAAACUUUUACUCAGAUUCUGGCCCUGCUUCUGGAUCAUGAGGUUCUGUGAGUCAGUCAUUGAUAUUGACUGAUCUCCUGCAGGAGGUAUGGUACUAGGUUAGGCCUUGUAGAUUGGAGAUCUCUGUUUCCUCAGAAAUCCAUUCUUAAGGUUAACUGUGAUCACAAACUCCAAACUAAAAGAUCUUUUCCUGCUUAAGUUUUGGUGUCCCUGAAGCACUUAAUGAUGGUGACUAAUAUACUACCACCACCCCACUAUUUAUUUAUUUUUUUAAUGUUUAUUUACUUUUGAGAGAGAGAGAGUGGGGGAGGGGCAGAGAGAGAGGGAGACACAGAAUCCAAAACAGGAUACAGGCUCUGAGUUGUCAGCACAGAGCCCGACGCGGGGCUCGAACCCACAAACUGUGAGAUCAUGACCUGAGCCAAAGUUGGACGCUUAACGGACUGAGCCACCCAGGCACCUCCGCCACCCCACUGUUUAUACCUCCUUUUUUUUCCUCUCCACUUUCCGCCCUCUCUCUCUAUGCCUUCUUCUUCCUAUUGUCUUUUUCUUUCUUUGUUUUUUUCUCUUUUUCCCUCUCAGGACUGGUGGCUCUCCAGUCUCAAGGUGCUGAGCCCCAGCAUAUUUAUUGUUUAGUUUCACAAAUGGUUUGCAACAGUGCAGGGAUGAAGGAAGGAACCACACACACAUGCCACAUACAUGCCACCGUGCUGACUCUAAAGGUUUUCCUUUUGGAGAAAUAGCAAGAAAAGCUCUGUGUUCCAAGGCCUGGGGACAGUGCUAGAAACUAUGUUAAACUUUCCCUUCCUGGCAGGCUGUCCGAGCAGACCUCCCUAUGUAAAACCAAGGGGUGAGGUUGAGAAUUAAAGGGCCAGUGGCUACCUUUUGCUGUGUUUACCUAAGGUAGAGUGGACCACUUGAAAAGGAGGAGUCCUCUGGGAAUCAAGUUAGGCAGCCCAGAGCCAGCGAUCUAGCCCAGAAUUCACCAGCAGGUGGCAGUCAUAUCCCUCAUGGCCAGUCUUUGGCUUCCUCGUGGUAUUUCGGAAGCUCCCUAGCCCUGGUGUUUGAGACUGUCUGAGAACUGUCGCUGAGGGUAGUGGUGGAAGAACCUAAAAAUAGCACUGAGACACAUACUUUUACCACUACUCUUCUUCAGUCAAAAGAGGCCUAUGAGAGGAGCAUCAUUUCUUCCCUCUUUACUUUUUACUCAAAUGUGUAAGAAAUGUGAGGAAAACAGGCAGCUGUACCUAUGGCUACCCCUUCUCCCCCAAAGGAUGUAAGAUCUGAAGCAUAGUAGACCCUUCCCCAAGAGAAAGGAGAGGAUCAGGGUAAUAGAACACGUGUUUAAAAGCUACCAGCACAAGGAGCUCAUGCUGAGCAGGUUGGCCAGCAGUUACAUUUGAAAUGCCACUGGCUCACAGAACAUGGCAUGCCAGGAGAGCUGGGAGUCUAUCAAGGCUGCGGUAAUGUCUCCCCCAGUCUCACAGGGGAUUCUCAGGAGCUUUUUCUUAACCAAGAUGACUUACAUUUUAUUUUCAACAAACUCUAGGUAUCAGGAGCUUUCUCUGUUUUGGAGGUCUUCUAAUUCCCGGACUCUGCCUCCAGAACUGCUAGUCCCCUCUAUGAAAGAGUCUCCCGGAAGUAUAUGGCAAAAGACGAUAUUGACACCUUGGUCCCUGAUACCUCUUAAUACUCUAAAUUUGGAAGGAGGGAGGAGAAUCAUACAAACAAAACAAUGUGUAAAUCUGUUUAACUUCUUCCUUCACCCGCUCCCUACUGUUGACAGUGGAGUGGGAAGAAUAUGUCAGGCAGAACUAGGUUCCCAUCCCAGCUCUGCCACAUUAGAUGUGUGAUCCUGGACGUGUGACUGAAUUUCUCUGAGCCUUACUACCUUAACUGCAAAUACAAGCGAUCCUGUCUCCCUGUGGAUUACUGUGAGUCUGUAAUGAGAUAUGUAUGUAAAUGAGACAACGUAUAAAAUGUUAUUUCCCCCUCUCUUCGUAGCCUCUCUCCUUUUCUCCCACCUCAUCUACCACCAGGGGCUACAGCUAGAGAACCGAUUCUCCAGGAGAAGUGAUUGAAAUGGCUGGAGGGGAAGAAGAUAGAAAAAAAAUAACUCCCCAUUAGUUGGUUUAGAACACAUCAUGUUCCUAAUAAACAAAUCCUCCUGCUUGAGGCUAGUGAAGGGACUAAAGGAACAAAAUCUAAAGCAAGGCUAUUUAUAUUUUAUUCCACAUCCCUCCCUGUUUGCUUAUGGGGGCAUUUUUCAUACUGCCCUCACAGCCUGGAGGAGCACAGAACAAUCAUGGAGCAGGAGGAAGUAGCUGGAACUGGGCAUAAACUGGCUCUUACUUUCUUCUGUACCCUUGGGAGGGAGACGAUCCUUGUGAAUGAGCUCUUCCUCCAGGAGAGCUGUGGUGUGAAAUCAGGACUGUGGCCGGGAAAGCUGAGCCAGACCUUGGAUGACCCCUCCUACAAAAGCAGGAAUCCCUUCUCAAGUGGGCAUUCAAGGAGGGUUAUGGUCAUGCUCCCCAGGGAUCGUAUGUUCAGAAAAAAUGCUUUGGGAAAAGCCGUGUUUGGAAUCAGGCAGCAGACACACCGGCUCUGAGAGUCCUAAGAUUGCUCUCAACGACUGCAGAGUUCUGAGUAGCUAAUGGGUGGAGUGCGCACUGCAGCAGGCCUCUCCUGAUAGGAGAGAUUGCGUAUCUGUCGCCGAUGCGGAUGCGAAAGCCACAGGCUGUCCUGGGCUUGGUCUCCAGUCUGCUCAGCAGCCUUGCUCUUCAUGUGACAUUUUUUUAUGAUUAACCUUGUUGUUCCUCCCCUUUCCCUCCCCACCUCUGCCCUCCCUCCCCCUGCCUCUCCCUGCACUUCCCUUUUCUCUUCCCUGUUCCACAUGCCUCUCUGCUGGUCCACAGCCAGUCCCAGCUCUGCAGCCCUCUCCGCAGCCUGUUCAGUUCUCUCCAGGCUCCUGUCCCCAAGUCCUUCUGCCAGUCUCUCCGCCCCAGCAGUACAACAUGGUAUAAACUCCUUUCCCCUUUUUGUCGUGUCCAUGUGUGGUAUGUCUGUGGGUCCGUCUGGGACAAAGCAGCUGUACUUUUUGGAGGGCCAUGUUAAAAGGCAUAUCUUCUUGAGCAAAGGGCCAGCAUAGGGUGAGCUAUGUUCCAUUCUGGUGGCCUCAUCCCAGCACUUGUGGCAUCAAAAGAUGCCUAAAUGUAAGAGAGGAGCGCUGGUUCCCCUGAGUCUCGGGAGAGGUACAGAAUUGGAUAUUGCUCUAACCUGGGCUCCUUGUCUUUCUACUGUGUGCAUCUUUCAUCCCUCCUCCUCCCUGGAUAUGUCUGAAGAACCCAGUUUAUCUCAUAUAGGAUGGUUUUCUGUCAUUUCCUUUGAAGGUAAAAACACAACUGCAGAUUUGUUUGGUAUCAUCGGUCCAAACUUAAAAUGUUCCCCUAUGUUACUGUGUUAUUUUAUAUUAAAAAAAAAAAAAAAAAACUCCAUUUCCGCGGCAUAGCACAUGCUGUUUAAAUUGUUUGUACCCUAGCUACAAAUCCUAUGAAGACCUGAUCCACCUCAUAGUUGAUAACUUUUUUUUUAACUUAACAUCUUUUUUUUUUAAUGUUUGUUUAUUUUGAGAGAGAAAGAAAGUAUGAGCAGGGGAGGGGCAGAGAGAGAGAAUCCCAAGCAGGCUCCAUGCUCUGCGAGGAGCCUGACUUGGGGCGCAGUCCCAUGACCUUGCGAUCAUGACCUGAGCCGAAAUCAAGAGUCCUCUGUGUUUAACCGACUGAACCACCCAGGUGCCCGCCCCAUAGUUGAUAACUUUUAUCAUGGUUAUCAGAGCCCUGAUUAUUUUUAAUUUUGUGUUAACCACACCUGUCUGGUUUUUGGUUUUUUAAAUGUUUAUUUAUUUAUUUUGAGAGAGAGAUCAAGAGCGAGUGGGAGAAGGGCCAAGAAAGAGGGAGACAGAGAAUCCCAAGCAGGCUGUGCACUGUGUCAGCACAGAGCCUGAUGCAGGGCUUGAAAUCAUGAACUGUGAGAUCAUGACCUGAGCUGAAACCAAAAGUCAACUGCUCAAUCAACUGAGCCUCCCAGGCACCCCACACCCUUCUAAUUUUUCACUAGAAUCCCCUUUCCUUCCGCCUAUAUCUCCAUUCUGAAAAGUUUUGGAAUGUAGACCUCAAAAUUAUCUGCAAUCCAGUCCUCUUAUCAUCUAUUCCUGCUCACUAAGGUAGCAGAACAGCUAACUUGAAGAUCAGAUUCCUGAAAAUUAAGUGAAACCACGGGAAAGCAUUGCCUUUUCUUUCUACUAGUUCCUCUUUCAAAAGAAGUCCUGCUCUGCGUGUGUGUGUGCGUGUGUGUGUGUGUCAACUACCGUCCGGGAAGCAGAAGGAACGAGGAAGCUAACAAAUUCUAACCUAUCAUCAUACAAGUGAGAGGCAGAACACCAUCCCUCUUGCUGCUUAGAGAAGAAGGCUGAGCGAGGAGGCAAUUACAGACUAGCCUGUCAGCCUCCUUGCCCUUCACCUUGGCCACUCAGCCUGGCCUCCUUUCAGAGGUGAGAAUUGGAAGUAGUUCCUGAAGGGCAGGAGAACUCUAGGCAAGUGUCAGCGAACAGAGGUGGAAAUGACCUCAAGAGGAGGGAGUAAGGAGAUAAGCAGCAGGAGGGGGAGCCCACCAGUCCUUUCGCUGCAUAGGCAAAGCUGGGGAGCCACGAGAACCUAACCAUCCCUAAUCCAUUCGAGGUGUUACUUAUCUAGGUCCUUUAUUACAAAAACAGGAUUUAUGGCAAUAUAGGGCCUUUUGUAUGGUUGGAGACUGGAAGACCGGAAAAGAAGGACUUACAAUCUUUUUCUUGUUAACCCAUUAGUUUGUCCUGUUUUUUUCUAUAUAUAUAUAUAUAUAUAUAUAUAUAUAUAUGUAUAUAUAUAUAUAUAUAGAAAGUUGUAUUGUUGCUCCCAUCUCUCUAGGACCAAUUCUAAUAAAGAUCAGAGUCACCGUGGCCAUUGUUAUGUGGUAAGGAGUCCGGUUCUGGAGUUGGGCUUUACACAGCUGUUCAGUUCAUAGCAAUUUUUUUUAAGAUUUUAUUUUUAAGUAAUCUCUCCACCCUAUGUUGGGCUUGAGCUCACAACCCCAAGAUCAAAAGUUGCACGUUUCACCGACUGGGCCAGCCGGGCACCCCCAGUUCAUAGCAAUUUAAAACACCACAUGACAGAAGCUUAGGGCUAAAAAGCGCCUCCUAGGGCAUGGAGGCAGGAGUGUCCCAAAUUGGUGUAAGGAAGGAAGGCUGUAGAGGGGGUUGCUAUAGCUGUCUGUCUGUCUGUUUUUGUGUUGAAGCCAAAGACUUGGGGCUUGAUAUGACCUCAGUCCUUGAGUCUCCCUUGCUCUCUCAACAGGCAGAUGACCUCAGCAACCCCUUUGGACAAAUGAGCCUUAGCCGUCAAGGUUCUACUGAAGCAGCUGACCCAUCCUCAGCUCUGUUCCAGCCCCAGCUUAUCUCCCAGCACCCUCAGCAGACUAGCUUCAUCAUGGCUUCUACAGGACAGCCCCUCCCCACAUCCAACUAUUCCCCCUCUAGCCAUGCGCCUCCUACUCAGCAAGUCCUGCCGCCCCAGGGCUACAUGCAGCCCCCUCAACAGGUGAGCAGCAUGGGCUCCCAGCUAAAAUCACUAAUUGAGUUUGUCCACGAUUACGAUCCUUCUUUCUUCCUCUAGUUUAGACAGAGCUGAGGACGUACCUAUCCCCACUUCCAUUACCUCACCUUGCAUUUGAGAGUUGUCUUUCUAGUCGGAAGGUCGUCUUUCUCUAUAACAUAAAUCCUUCCAGUUCUGUUUCAUACUGGUAUAUGAAUUCUGCAAUUGUAGGUCCAAAUAUCUCUACAGAUUUCUGGCUAUUUACCCUGAUGUAUUUCAUAGUUGGGAUGUUGGGGCUGAAUGUAAGGGCCCCUCUCACAUAUCUGUUUCCUCUCACCAUAGAUCCAGGUUUCUUACUAUCCCCCUGGACAGUAUCCUAACUCCAACCAGCAAUAUCGACCUCUCUCUCACCCGGUGGCCUACAGCCCCCAACGUGGUCAACAGCUGCCUCAGCCAUCCCAGCAGCCUGGUAAGAGGAACUGCUGGUGUAAGAAGGCAGUGAAUAGGGGAAGGGCAGAGACUGGGAAAGAGAGUAGUACCUUCCUUGUUUUAAAAAAAAAAAAAAAAGAACAGCAGGAAUGAUUAGUCCCAGAAGGAACCCAGGAUCUUCAGAAAAAGAAAAGGUAAAAUAGACAGGAGAAGGGAAAUUACUGAGAGAAUGCGACCUCCUAAACAUUGUUGAGACCAUGCUAAGCUAAUGUCUUCUGUGUCUUGCCCGUCCCUAGGUUUACAGCCCAUGAUGCCUAACCAGCAGCAGGCGGCUUACCAAGGCAUGAUUGGGGUCCAGCAGCCACAGAACCAGGGCCUGCUCAGCAACCAGAGGAGCAGCAUGGGGGGCCAGAUGCAAGGCCUGGUGGUUCAGUACACUCCACUGCCUUCUUACCAAGUGGGUACAUUCUGUACUGGGAAAGAUCACCCAGUCCUUGGGAUGAGGAAAAGGAACACAGUCUCCCACGUUAGCCAGUGUGACAACCCCAACACUAAAAUACUGUUCACUUUCCCCUUAGAAUUUGUAGGUGUUUUUCCUCUGAGAGAAAGCCCAAAGAUUCUGAGAAGAGUCUUUACUUAAAUUGUUUGGUCUUUAUACAGCCAUGCAGAUGAGUAUAUGGCCCAGAAAAGUAAGAUCUAAAGGAAAUCAGGCUCCUUUCUCUGCAUCAGAUGCCUAAAGGGAGAUAGCUCUGUAUGUAUUUUCUUUAGGCAGAUGAGGUGAGUAGGAGGAGUCUCGAAAGGUAGGGAAGGAAGUUAGUGUCCUAGUCUAGUGAUGACUUAUUUGGCCAUUGUCUGGAUGAACUCAUUAGGAGUACAAGUGGUCAUUCUCUUCUCAUCUCUAUCCAGGUCCCAGUGGGUAAUGACUCGCAGAAUGUGGUCCAGCCGCCUUUCCAGCAGCCCAUGCUGGUCCCUGCGAGCCAAUCUGUGCAAGGGGCACUCCCAGCAGGGGGCGUACCAGUGUACUACAGCAUGAUCCCACCGGCUCAGCAGAACGGUACUAGGUGAGGACUCCAAGCGAGUCAGGGCCCAUCUGCCAUAGACCAGCAGCUAUUUCCACUGACCUAAGAAAGAAGGGCAAGGGUAGAGAUUCCAGUGUGCCCUAAAGCAGGUAGAAUAUGAGGAAAUUCAUUCUCCUUGUCUCAUUUUUGAUUUGACAUGUGAAUAAGAGCUCAUCAGCAGAAAAAAAUUCCUGCUUCAAAGACAGAGGCUUCAUCAUCUCCCCCAUUUUUUGUUUUUUCUAAUCAGUGGGAUUUAGAACUAUACGAUAGAGAUUGCUCAUCAUUAAAAGAAGCAAUUUGGGGGCAUCUUGGUGGCUCAGUCGGUUGAGCCCAGCUGACUCUUGAUCUCGGCUGAGGUCAGGAUUUCAUGGUUCGUGAGAUCAAGCCUCGAGUGGGGCUGUGCGCUGACAGUGCAUAGCCUGCUCUCUCCCCCUGCCCCUCUCUCUCUGCCCCUCCCCUGCAUGUGCACAUUCUCUCUCUCUCAAAAUAAAAAAAAAAAAAAAAUUAAAAGAUGCAAAUUGGAGUAUAUAUAUGUAAAUUUUUCUACAUAACUCUAUAUCCAUGGAUGAAUCUCAGAUGGUGUAUCUAUUUAUAUAUAUCUUAGUAUAGGUCAUACCUGAUAGAAUUUUAGAGGUAGAAGACACCUUAGAAAUAUUUAAUCCACUCCUCUUGUUUUCCUUUUCUCCCUUCUUUUACAAAUGAGGAAAUUCCAGCCAGGGAGGUUAAGAAACUUACUCAAAGUCAACCAGCUAGUUAGAAGUAGAGCUGGGACUAGAAGUCAAGUCUGGGCCUAUAUGUAUUUCUGUGUAUUUCUCUCAGUGUAUAUGUUCACUACUUUUUGUAUGUAUGUCUCCACCUUAUCUUGAGUUUGUGAGGGUUUUUCCCCACUUCUCUUUAGGUAACUCUGCUGUUAUGUAAACAUCCGAAAUCACACAUCUCCUUAGUUCUUUUUUGCCCAUCCCUCUCUAGCACUGUGUGUCUGUUUUUGGUACUUCGUGUUUCUCAGAAUGUGUGUGUGUGUGUGUGUGUGUGUGUGUGUGUGUGUGUGCGCGCGUGCGCAUGUGUGCACGUGGAUAUGUCUGGUGUUUCCACACUGUUGGGAAGAGCAUGUGUCACUAACAUUCCAUCUGUAGCACUGAUUAGCAGCUUCCUAAUUGAAAGAUGAUCAAGUACAAAUAUAUAUAAUUAACUUUGAACUGAUGAGUGAUUUUAGAAAUUGCAUGGCAAAUUGGUCUGGGAAUGGCUGGAAGCUGCCUCUGCUUCCCACAGGGGAGGCCUGGGAAGCAGCAGCUGGUUGCCAGGAGCUGUGUUCCUCCCUCCGCCACUUUAACCCUACUCUCUUCAUCCCCCAGCCCUUCUGUAGGGUUUCUGCAGCCUCCCGGCUCUGAGCAGUACCAGAUGCCUCAGUCUCCCUCUCCCUGCAGUCCACCACAGAUGCCACAGCAGUACUCAGGUAAGAGGAUAAAGAAUUAGAGGGUCUUGGGUAUUGGCAAGAGCAAACGCUGCUGAAAGACUUGUGCUCUAGAGCUGGGAAGGGUGGGAGAGUUCCUGGAUUGGCUCUGUCCCCAGCUAUAACACCAUCACAAGAAAAGACCAGAGUCCUGACUGGUGUUUUUCCAGGAGUGCUAAAGUUGACCUCGUGAGAGAUGAGGUUGGUUGCCCCAUCCUAUCCCUGGGAAGCCACAUACUUUAUUGUGUUCCUUGUGGGGUUUUUUUUUCUUUCUUCUUUUUUUCCUUCCCUCCGAAACCAGCAUUACACUCACCACUCACAUGCCUUUGAGACACAAAGUGCUUACCUCUGUCUCCUGCACUCACUCUUCCUAUAGACAGCUUUACUUUUUGGUUGUGAGUGUGAGGAAGCUGAUAAAAUGCUUUUUAAGUCCUAUCUUAGAUUUGUUUAGCUGCUUUUCAUUUGUGCUCACAUACAUUGUGUCAUUUUAAUUCUCACCAGAACCUUGUGAAGAGGAAAUUUAAGACUCAAAGAGGAUAAAUGACUUGCCUGAGGUCACAGUCGUAGACCUUGAACUAGGGUCUUUUGCCUUCCAUGCUGCAUCCUCAAUAUCACACUUUCAACAGGUCUCUGUACUCUAUUCCUUUCCCUCCAGUGGGAAAUAAAUGAAUAUCAUGUUAAAUAGCUAAAGGCCUUCUUUGAAGGGACAGCUAUCAGGUGAGUAGGCUUAUGCCAUGCAGGCUGUCUCUUUCUGCCUCUGCCAAGGACUCUCCCAGCAGACCAAGUACAGCUACCCUUGUUUGUUUCCCUUUUACCCAACCCUGACACAGCAUUACCCUGCAGUUAAAGCAGCUUCAGGGGUUCUAGUGGGGAGGAGAUCUUAAUGUAGCCUCCAACCAUCCCCAUUCUGCUCUGUUGUGGGAUAUCAGAGUGCCCUCUUCUGGUGAGAGGGAAGCAUUUUGACGGUUUUUCCCAUUUUAGAAAUAAGAUUUUCACAUAAGAGUUUUCGCACUCUUAGUUAGAUGCUGUGGAGUGAAUUCCAGAAUUAAUCUUGCUCAUAAGACAGGAUCAAUUCUUCUUACCUUCAAGGAGCAGUGACUUCUGCCUUCAUCCAGACCAAACGUGGCUUUCUCACAGGCUGAGAGGUUUUAAAUUCAACAGCCUUUACCCUUUAUUACAUUCCUGGUCUGUAGCUGUUUCUCCUAAGUGUCCACCGGGGGCACUUGACCUUGAAAUUCCCAGCAGGAUAUGGAAAUUGUAGAAAUCAGCUCCAAGAACCGCUGUAGCCUCUGGUGGUGCUUACUACUGCAGGGCAUUUUCUCUUGUUUGUUAAGACAAGUGUGUGUAUGUGCAAAUAGUUAUACUUGUAUGUGCAUUUUUAUGUGAAUCCUUCGUGGUAUAUCAGUAUAUGUAUUGGGUCUCUGUGGUUGUGUCUCUUCAUCUUCAGAUACAAGGUCUUGGAAUCUGAAACAAACCAAGUGAGAAGAAUUUUUCACUACCUGCUCUGGACUUAGUGCUAGGUUAAGCAAACCGGAACAGCUGUUGUUCUGAAAAUUGGCAGCACCAGAGGUCUGGGCUGGGAUUGGAAGAUCAUCUGGACUCUUCCCAGAUCAAUAGAAAUGGAGGAAGCCCUCUUCAUCAUCUAGUUUCCUUACUUUGGAAGUUCCUGUUAUAUGUCCUUUCUUCCAAACUAUCCUGAUUAAUUGAUUUGAGACUUCUCUGAUCCUUUGUACUCUUCCUAGAUGAUGGGACCGCCCCCCUCCUGUUCCAUCCAUGUCACCUAAGAAACCCAUAUACACACCACAUCAUCGAUUUUAAAAGUCUUCAGUCUCUACUCAUGGAAAUAUAAGAGGAGGUGGAAGAAAAGAAACAAGUGCUGCUUCUUCCUUCCUUUCCAGUUUACCUCUUACUAGGAAGAUAGAAGGCCAGCAUAGCCCACAAGGGCUGCUAUGUCACCUUCAAAGGACAGUCACCCGCCUUUCUCCCAUGUAGCAACAUGGUCACUUUUCCAAAAAUAAAGGCAGGGAUUAAGAUUGGCUGUUCUUGGAACAACUGUUCUGGUUUAUUAAUACAUUUUUGUGGUUGCCCAGUUUACCCCCAGGCCUGGACCUUAAUUCUUCCACUAUGAUAUUGGAUAGCAUUAUAACCCCAGGAAACACUUUUCUUCCUACUAAAAUGAUGGUCCGCAGGUCCCUUGAGGUUUCUACAGAGGUGCUUGUCUGCAGGAGAUGCACACAGACAUGAAAUGGCAAUGAUGUACACACACAGACUCCCAACUCACAGUGACACAGCACCAUGGCCAGAGUGAGGUAUAUACAGAAAUAGCCUCUCACAUACUUACUGGCUCAUUUUGUAGCUGAGGGGUUUCCAAAGCUGGGACUAACUCCUUUCUCUCCCACUCCCUGAAGAUAUUCCUCCCCUUCACCAAAAGAGGGGGAAAAAACCAAGAUAUUGUUGGAUUCUAUCCUGUAAUAUGGGAAAGAUGCCUGUGGAUAUUAUUUCUCUGGACAUUCCUUUCCAUAGAUUUGAUUCUUGGUGGCAAAAGAAAGAAGUCUUAUGAGUCUUCUACCUCAGUGAUUAAAAAAAAAACCAUAACAACUAAACAAAAACCAAUUCUGCCAGACAUAAAUGUCAUCUGUUUGUAUUUAUGCGGUUUGCUCUGCCCAAUCGACCUUUCUGCCCAGGUUUAAUGAUGCCACUUAAAAAGCCAUUCACACGUCCCCUCUCCUUUCAGAGCUUUCAGGCUGAAAUUGAUUUCCUUAUUCAACCCCCUUCUCCCCCUUCCCACUUCAGCCCUCCCCUGAUUAUCUGGAAGUGUUGUCACUGGGCAAUAGGGUGGUUUUCUCUCUUUUUUUCUUUCUUCCUUUCUUUUUCUUUCUCUUUUUUUAUUGUCACAUCCAUUUAAAAAGUAGCGACAGUUCAGCUGUAACGGAUGCCACCUGCUUUUGGCUUGAGGAAGAGAAGCAUAAAAAUCAGCUCAUCAGCGUAGUGCUCUGCGUCCCGGCUGAGUGAAGGAACAAUGCUUCAGGCCAGCGGGGGAGGACUCAGUGUGGGGAGGACCAAGGCUGCCACCGACCGAGAACCCUGCCUUUGUUUUUGUUGGGAUCAGAGAAAAUAUAUGAGGGCUUUGUUCUCUUUCCCCCUCCCCUUGAGCCCUCUAAUAGCUCCUUAUGGCUACAUGUUGGUAUUAGAAAGAUCUUCCGCCUUGCCUAUGCCCACACCCUGCACACUCACAUGUCCCCCACCCUUUCCUGGCCUGAGGCACUAGGCUCAGAUUAUGAGCCGCCUUCUAGAAAGCUGCAGAUGUGAUUAUUUUUGUGUUGGCCCCCUCAGGUAGCAAUGAGGUGUUUGAAUAAGGUCAAUUGCAAUUUUGUUGGUAGAGGAUGUUGGAGCAGGUGGGGCUCUUAGGAUGGGGAAAAAAAUGCCCAGAGCAACUACAGUACGGGGGGAGUUGUUAAAUGCAUGACACUCCACAGCUAUUCGAUUUUCUGGUGGCCCUCCUACAAGCCACGCUGAUGAAUACCCUGUCCCCUGUGGCAGAGGAUGGGGAGAGGCGAGCCUGUCGCUCUGAGUAUUUGUGCUCUCUGAUUAGAUGAACCCCAGAGGGUGGGGGGCCACAAAUUGACUGGAGAAUAGGGUUCAACAGAUGCUGCGUCUCCUGAGCUGCUCUCAGGCCUCCCACCGCUUCUUUUCCUUCCCUUUGACCGAUGCUACCCGAGAAAAGCAAUCGUGCUCAGUUCCCAGCAUGACUGGUGCCCAGGGCAGAGGCUGCAACAUUUCCCGUCACAGGAAGCAACGUGACGGCGGCAGCAGUGGCAGCCUAAGAGCACCGAGGCAUGAAAACGGCAGCACUGCAGCAGGUUUUCAAGCUGGCAGCCUCCAGUCCCAUUUCUCUACCGCCGCACACACAUGAACUCAACCUGUCCCUCAACACACAUAGAGCCUGAGAGGUCAAGAGCAAACUCUCAGUCUGCACAAUCCCCUGUGGGGAAGCAGAACUCCUGCCCAUCCCUCCCAGCAGGGACUGUCAUUCAAACUGCUUCUCCCUGAUCCCUUACCUUGCUUUUCACCAUGAGCAAGAUUCAGGACUUCAUGUUCUUCCACACUGAGCUCUUUGCUUCUCCAGCAGAGGGUAAGGCUACCCCUGGUUGUCUGUGCUAAAACUUCAGGAUCACAUCCAGUCAGUCACCUGAACCUGUCAGCAAAAGCUUCGGAGGGUCUGACCCUCCCACUCUUCCUUGCAGCCACUGGUCUAAUUCAGGACCUCCUCGCUAUUUUUCAGUAGCUUUCUAACUCUUCGUCCUGCUGCUGGCCCCUCCCUCCCUUAAGCCACUGUACAGCUGGCCACUUGAGUUAGCUCUCUGAAGUUCUGUUCCUAACACCUACAUGAUAAAGACCCUUACUAGAACGUGCUUCAAACUUGGACGCCAGCUGUUUGCUUACUAUCUGACUCCCUGAUAGACUGUCCAUUCCAUUAAGGGCAAGGACCACUUUUGUUUGUUGUACACCCAGUGCCCAGCAUAGGACCUGGCACACAGUAAAUAUUCAAUAAAUGUUGAGUGAAUGCAUAAACAAUCUCAUCUCCCGCUUCUCCUGCAUAACCGCUGUGCCUCCGCACCUUGAAUUGUUCGUCAUUUACUGAAUAUGACCUACAGCUCCAUGCCAUUCCUAAUUCACUCACCCUUGCCCAAGAAGUGCUUCCUGGCCUGACUUAGUGAAGCUAUGUGCACUCAUCUUCUCCAGAGCAACCAGAGAUCACUGACCUAUCUUCAGCCAUUACCAGAAAACCUGCACGUGCCUGCAGCCCUGGCCCAGGCCCCAGACUGGGACCUGUACCAUGCCCAGACAUUUGAGCAACCUGACCUGGACAUUUGGUAAUACCCAACUUUGACAGAAUGGAGUAGUUUUCUGCCAAGCAUACCAAAGUACCCCUCACCGGGUGAAGGCCAGGAGAGCAUUGGCAUCUGGGACUCAGGUCUCUUCUACUCAGACUUCACUGGUUCAGGGAGAAGGGAGUCAGAAACUAAAUUAGCAACUAUCUCAGAUUCCUGGCAAGACACAUUUUAAGUGACCCUGAGGCAAAGUGGGUAGAUUUGUUUACUGGCUUUCACACUCAGGGUUACUUGGAAGGUCACAAUAUAGUUUGAAUUCACAACUAGCCCCUUUCUUCCUGCCACUCAGGAGUGUCACCUUCUGGACCAGGCGUGGUGGUCAUGCAGCUGAACGUCCCUAAUGGACCCCAGCCCCCCCAGAACCCAUCCAUGGUCCAGUGGAGUCACUGUAAAUAUUACAGCAUGGACCAGCGUGGGCAGAAGCCUGGAGACCUGUACAAUCCUGACAGCAGCCCCCAGGUGAGUCCUACAAACCAGUGUUGUCUUGGCAAGGAGAUGACCGCAUUCUUCUCCGGGAAUAAUCUUUGCCAUUGACUGAGCAGCCUCUUGUACAUGUCUGUCCCUGGGUGCUCUUCUGGGAGAGUCAUAAGAAAGAGAGGAGAGCCUCUUCUUUCAAGGAGCCUAAGAGCUAAGGGAGACAUACUUGAAAAUGCUAAGACAAUGCUUAAAGCACUGUGUCAAAGGUGGAUAUUAAAAUAAUAGGUAUUAAUUAGGGACGAAGGGGGCUGUUGAAAGGAGCAGCCGGGCUUUGGCAGAGUUCUGCAAGAGACGCUUUCUGAGUGAGGUGAAUUUUAAGCCAUAGGUAUAUCCAGAGGAUGUUUGGUGUGUAUAUAAUGUGUGCUCCUCUCUCCUACAGGCCAACACACAAAUGAGCAGCAGCCCUGUCACAUCUCCUACCCAGUCUCCAGCACCCUCUCCUGUCACCAGCCUCAGCAAUGUCUGCACAGGACUCAGUCCCCUUCCUGUCCUCACACAGUUCCCCCGGCCUGGGGGUCCAGCACAGGGUAAGGGGUGAGACUAGAGCUGGCUGCUGCCAAAUUCACCCUUCACAGCCCAUUCCCAAGUGAGGACAUCCAGAUGGUAGCAACAGGCAGGAAAACAGUGCACCUGGUCAUCCAACUCUGGGAGCCAACUCUUCCUUUAACAUCCCUGUUUAGACCCUGCCCCUCUUUAGUGCUGCCCAUAGUCAGCUUACUGCAGACCUCCUUUACAUAUUUAGUAUUUACUACCAAGUAAGGUAGGUGGGUGACUAUGAGCUGGGAAAAGAAACUCACAGAACUUUCUAAUGAACCAAAGACUUUAAAACAUUGGUACUGAGCCUAAGGACUAGGACUGUGGGGCUGUGUCAGAAACAGUAUGGUUUUAGAAGAGAGAACACUGGAGUUGGGUUAAAAAGACUUGGGUUUGAGUUCUAGUUCUACUACUAACUAGGUUUGUGAUGUUGAGCGUGUUACUUAAACUUGGAACCAGACCUCAAUUUCCUAAUCUAUAAAAUGGGGUUAAUCACACAUAGAAUGGAAAUAAUCUUACCCGUUUCUGCCUUGGCUGUCACAAGCAGUAUAAAAAUCAGAUGGGAGUAUGAUUUAAAAACUUUAAAGUGCUCUGAAAUCUAACAUUUAUCAACACAAAUAGGUAACACUAUGGUACUGGAUAUAUAUGAAGCAUUACUGGAAGUGCUUUGUGUGUCCUAUAUUCAUUUAGCCUACUCAGCAACACUAAUGAGAUGAAAACAUACCCAACCUAUCAUUUCCAGUAACAGAGCCAGGAUUUGAACCUAGACAGUUUGACACCAAGCCUGUAAUCUUAUCCACUACACUAUAUUGCCACGCAGUGCGAAUCCAAAACUUGAGCCCUGGGUUUGGGUAGGAUAAUCUGUAUAAGAAAUUAGGGGUACCUGGCUGGCUGAGACGGUAGAGCGUGCGACUCUUGAUCUCAAGGUCGUGAGUUCAAGCCCCAUUUGCGGCAUAGAAAUUACCUAAGAGAAAGAAAGAAAAAGAGAAAGAAAGAAAGGGAGGGAGGGAGGCAGGGAGGGAGAAAGGAAGGGAGGGAGAGAGGGAGAGAGGAAGGAAGGAAGGAAGAAAGAAAUGAAAGAAACAUAUUCAUAAGGGUCUAUAGAUUUUCUCCUGGGCCUUUUGUCUGCAGUGGACAGAGCCCUUCUUUAAGAAUAAAGGAACCUAAAAGCCCCAUUUGCAUGAGAUACACAGCUGAGGGCCAAGCAGUUUAGGCAGAGAGACAACUCUUCAGUCAGUCACAUGGGCACUCUUAUCAUAGAAGAAGUAAGAAUAGCAUGCAUUGUUGCCAUCUAUCUCCAAAGCCCUCUAAAGUUUCCUAAAAGUCAUACCAUGAAGUUCUAACUCCCAGAAAACCAUCUGCUCUUCCUCCCUAGGUGAUGGGCGCUACUCCCUCUUGGGCCAGCCAUUACAGUACAAUCUGUCCAUCUGCCCUCCCUUGCUCCAUGGCCAGUCGACGUACACGGUACAUCAGGUGAGGGUGUCCACCGUCAGCCUGAGGACCGUCAGAGCCCUCCCCACCCCACCCCACCCAGGAGGAUCCAUCCAGGAUGGCCCCAUCUCUGUGCCAUCCACCUCAACCAACGGGGUGGACAGGGGACAUAGCACAGUGAGAAUGGACAAAGUGGGGAUGCCUUACCCCUCUCCCACACUCAGUCUUUCCACCCAUCCCCAAUGCUAAGGAGGAGGGACUCUUUGUUUCUCAGUGGCCACUCUGGCCAGUCGCCUGCCUGGUGGGGCGAGUUCUCAGGGUUGGGUACUGCUCCUUAAUCUCUCAGACAGACAUUAGAAUGCAAGGCAGUCAGUAUUGUUUACCUGGGAUGAGAGUUGUCUUUUGAAUGUUGAAGGGACAGAGUGGAUUGAAGCAUGGAAACCGGAGCAAGAGACAAGCACUCAAAUCUGCCUCCACUGACCUGGGGACAACAGACGUUGGUGAGUGACAAGACACUGAAUCCCCAAGAGAAGGUGCUCACCCCUUCAGCCUGCAUCACCAGCCCAGGACCAGUGGGAAAAACCAGCUUAGGGUAGGGGGUAGAAAUAGGACUCUUUGGUACUCAAGAGCAGGGAGAAACUGGGGAAUUGAAGUAUCUCCCUCAGUCUUCCUUACCAAGCCAUUUCAGGUGCUUGGAAAGGUGAUGGUAAAAACUGAGAAUAACAACAAUGGUCAACGGUGCUGAGCCUAUUAACAGAGAGUCUUGUGGGAGUGGUUCUGACCCUAAUCUAGGAUAUCUACCUUGUAGUCCUAGGCCUUUUUAAGGAGAAGUUUGACAAGAGAAUGGGGGAGUAGCCCCCUUGCAGGCCUUCCACACUAGGCAUACAAGGUCUCUCAGAUUACCCCUAUUUUUUUUUUAACGUUUAUUUAUUUAUUUUGAGAGAGCAUACACGUGUGUGUGCUCGAGCUGGGGAGGGUCAGAGAGAGAGGAAGAGAGAAAAUCCCAAGCAGGCUCCAUGCUGUCAUUGCAGAGUCUGAUACAGGGCUUAAUCUCACGAACUGUGAGAUCAUGACCUGAGCCUAAAUCAAGAGUCGGGUGCUUAACUGACUGAGCCACCCAGGCACCCACCCGAUUACCCCUAUUCAGAGUGGUUUGCUUAUUUAGGAAAGGAAGGGAAAUGGACUUCCCUAGAUGAUAAGAAAGAGGGAUCUCUUUGGGCCAGCCUCUGUGAGGGGGACUAUGCGAUAUAUUUCAGCUUGGGUUACUGACUUUGUGGAAGAACUGAAGUGUAGGUCUCCAGAUCUGAAGUCUAGGAUUCUGAUCCCCAGUUUCUUCUUGCCUACAUCUCUGGUCCAAGAGAAGAAAAAGGUUUCUUUGUUUCUCCUAGUUGCCUAGAUGGUGGGGUGUUGGCUUGAUUUGGGGAAGGAGGAAUGGGUUAAGUGGGCAAAGCCAGGCUUUGAGGAUGUCAUCUAUAGACUUGGAUCAGCUGCCUGCUUCUCUGCUGGCCGCUCUCCAGUCCUCUGUACUGUCACCUCUCACAACCAUGUCCUCUCUCCUCCCCUUCCAGUCCUGGGCCGGGUGCUGGAGGUGACAGAUCUCCCUGAGGGCAUCACUCGGACUGAGGCGGACAAACUCUUCACUCAGCUUGCCAUGUCUGGCGCCAAGAUCCAGUGGCUCAAGGAUGCUCAGGGGCUGCCUGGCGGGGGCGGGGGGGACAACGGUGGGACUGCUGAGAAUGGCCGCCACGCGGACCUCGCUGCCUUGUACACCAUCGUGGCUGUGUUUCCCAGCCCCCUGGCUGCCCAGAAUGCCUCCCUUCGCCUCAACAACUCCGUGAGUCGCUUCAAACUUCGAGUGGCCAAAAAGAACUAUGACCUGAGGAUCCUGGAGCGAGCCAGCUCCCAAUAAACGGAGGAGGGGAAGGGACCGGCACAGUAGGGGUGGGGGCAGGGCGGAGGGGGUCGAGGGAUCCUGACAGACUACGGACAGAGGCAGAAAGAAAGGUGACAGACACUGAACUGGAGCCUAAGACAGUGGGGAUGAAGAUGGAAACAGACACUCACACUGGCACUGGACUCCUCGCUCCCCUGCCAUGGAUCCCUUCUUUUUCCCUGGUUGGCCCCCCUUGCUGCCCUCUCCUUCCCAUCCUCUUCUGUCAUUUUUUAUCUCUUCUCCCACCAUGAAAUUAAUUUUUUUCAUAUUUUUUGGUCAGGUAGAAUUGGGAGGGUCCCAUGCUCCCCUAUUCGAUCUCCUCUACCAUCCCAAGCUCCCUUUUCAUUUCUGGUCUUUAUGAAUAUAUUUAUAUGGACAGAAUUAAGAAAAGCAAAAUUGAUUUCCCCUUUCUCUCACUUCCCCCAUCUUGUCUCCCCAAACCCCAAAGAGUUAAAACUUGGGCCUCCCCCACCUCCCAGAACACUUGUAUAUUGUUUGUUUGAGGUUCGUGCCGCAGUAACAGACAGUAUUUAAUUGCACAUACAGAUGUUUGCUGGGUAUAUUCACUGUAAAUUUUAUUUAAUCUGAUUUUUUGUUUGUUUGGGGGGUUAUUUGGGGGGGAGGUUGAUUUUGUUUUUAAAUAUAAAAAAAAAAAAUCUGUCACUGGACGUCAGUCCCUGUUUCUCUGUUGCUGACCCGGUGUGGGUGGGGGUCGGAGGUCCUAGGUAGGUACAGCCCCACAGCUUGUCGGAGAAAUUUCAUGUUUUCUUUAACAUAUGCACACAUACCUUCCUAACACUAUUCCCUGCAUCCCAUCCUCCUCCUUGUACAUGGUGAUUCUGAUAGAUGGCUGGAUCUCUAAUGGGACCUUUGUUCUGGGCUCUCCCAACUCUGCCACUAAGUGUGGUUUCAUCAAGCACAUCCAUUUGCAACUCCUGACCUCUGUCUGACUCUUUAUUAGUAAAAUAGGAGACUUGAACUAACUUGCUUAUCUCUGAGGUUCCUUCCACUAUGUUAAUUCUGUGAUACUCAUUUCGGGCCCUCCUGGCUGAGCUGUGGAGGGUGAGUGAGAUCCAGAACCAGGUUGAGAUGGUGGCCUCAACAAUCUGGAUAUGUAUCCAGCAUCCGAUCUUCUGAAAACUCUUCAGGGAUGGAGGACUUGGGCCUUUUAUAAUAUGAAAGCUAGAGGAUUGGGUUCUAUGACAAACAGAAGCGGAUGUUCUUAUAUAAAAGCUACAUCAGUUGAACUUGAAGGGUCAAGAUACUGUAUCACCCAGGCAUGCUCAGCAGUCCCUGUCCUAUGCAACCGAAGAAAGGUGAAAAACACGUUAUCCACCUGCAUGGAUGGAGCUUCUCCUCUCUCUGAGGCUUCUCAAAGCUAGCCCUGUUGUCGUGCAGCCUGUCAGACCAGGGCCUUUAAGAGCCAUCCAGCAGCCCCUUUUCCAUCUCACCCACCCCUUAACAAAAUAAAAAAGAGCAGUGACAGAAAUGACAAAGUACAUUACCCUGGAAAUCGCUUGGGUCUGGGUAGCAGUAUCUCUAGCCAGGCUCCUCUGAGGCUUGUCUGACCCAACCUCCAACACAAUCCUUUACUUCUUACAGAUACAAGGGAUAAAGCAGCACUACAUGACCACCUCCAAAUGGCCCUCCUUUGAGAUCCGAGGAGUAACUCCUCUUUCAGCCAUGUCACAACCCAGAGUAGGAGAAGGCCGGAGCCCUGUGAGACAAGAAUGUCAGAUAUCUCAUUGACCCAUAAGCUCCUAUACCAGGGCAUCAGAUGAGGGAAGUGGAAUCAGGGAAUCAAAAUGAUUUAGGAAGUGUGGGGCUUGGCUGUCCUACCUCCAAAAGUUUACAGUCCUCAUGGAGAAGCAGAAGCAGACGUUGCUUACAGAGGAGGAAAAAACCGUGUGUGGUAGCUUUUGCCUUCUGUCCAGUGUUAACGAGACCAUCUCUACCUGACCAUUAGACCCUUACUCUCCCAGAGCCCCUCAGGUGGAAGUCCCAUCCUGGCUUUUUUCAGUAGCUCAGAGAAGUCCCUUCACUUCACCCAGGGGAUAAGGUUUUAGAAUGGGGGAAGGAUGUCUCAGGGGGCACUGGAGAGAAUAAAGCAGUACUAUGCAUGGUCUACACUCCCUUUCAGGAUGGCAGCAAGGUACCCCUCCAACCAUCAAUGGAUAAAGAAUGCAAUCUAGUCUGGCUGACAGGAGACCUCUGAGAAUUCAAAGUCUCCUUUCUCACCAGUUUCCAGCCUUUGCUUCCUAAAGGUUUGAGGCUAGAUCGAUGCUUGAGGGUGUAAAAACAUGACCACAGGAAGACAGUGGCUGAAAAAAAUCAAAAGCUAGUUCCUCAAGUAGGUCUGGGGCAGGUAGACUCGGAGAGGUGUGUGGACCUCGGGGAAGGCUGUUUAUAAUUUCAUCUUUACGUUCAGUCAUCCAAAGUCACCUAAGUGAGUAUGCAGCCUGAACAGACACUGCCCUUCCUUGAAUUUAGCCAGAACUGACCUGUACACGGUAGAUGAAAAACCAGGACACAGUGGCUUUGGGGGAUGGGAGGAGUCAGGGUCCAGCCCAGCCCAGACCUCCCCGUGUCCAAUUUCUCUGUGUCAGCUGUGGCGCUCAGCUGUCCACUUUCCUCCAGCCCUGUCAUUUCAGCUCUGACACCAAGGCGAGAGACUAGGAGGUCUACAAAUAACGUCUGGGUAGCCGCUGUGAGUACAGAGGGUACUGGGGGGGCUUAGCCCCCAAGGAAGAGGACCAGUCGUCCCCCAGCACCACCAUCAAGACCCCAGGGGCUCCCUCUUUCCUCCACAGACUGUGGACUGACUUAGGGAAUCCCAAACGUAAGUUGCCUCUUCAUCCCCCGUCCAUUUCCAGCACUGCUCCCCGCAGCUUCCCCAAUCUGUAGUCUAUUCAACGUCUUCGUUUCUCUCUUGCCUGUGAGUAGUUAGGGUUUUAGGAGUGAAAUUAUUACUCUACUCCAGGACAAGAGCUAGGAUUGGAGGGUGGGGUGGGGGUGGGGUCAAGGGAAUGGAGUAGUAAGGGAAGGAAAGGCUCAUAUUACUCUGAAAACUUAAAAUAGCUGAGGACUGAGGCAGGCUGGGAACUAGGCCCUGGGCCCCAGGGACUCAAAGGGGUAGGGGAGAGCAAAUGUCCCCAGCCCAUCCCUCCAGGCAUGCUUCUGGACCCACCCAUUAAGCCUCUUGAAGAAAGGGGGUUCUGGGAAGGUGUGUGUCAUAUCUCGGUUGCCCACAGAUUCCCAGGAGAAACAAACUGUAGGAAAAUCCCUGAACCAUGCAGCUUUGAGCACCAUGUUGGGGCUAUAAAUUUGGGUUGCGCCUCUGGGUGGAAAGGAUGGGUAUCUAGCUGUUUGAGGAACUGGCGGGGAAAGUCUUUUGUCUGUUGCACUUUUCUCUGGACCUCCAUGGAAUCUUCCUGUUCAUAAGUCUGUCAAAGGAUUUCUGUUUAACCAAAGUCCUCCCAAAGUCUCCCUUUCAAGGACCACCACCCCCCCCCCCCCCCCCCCCCCCCCCCACCCCGCUACAGUGAGGGACAGGAAUUAGGAAAGGAAGAAUGGCAGUCAGAGAUCAGAUUCCAUAGUGGGUCCAACCUCUUGCAGGAUGACAGAAAAGGAGGUGCUGGAGUCCC
Molecule: long non-coding RNA, 23123 nt
Filed under: Lynx pardinus (Iberian lynx)
Lineage: Eukaryota; Metazoa; Chordata; Mammalia; Carnivora; Felidae
Source: RNAcentral